AUUGAACGCUAGCGGCAUGCUUUACACAUGCAAGUCGAACGAGUGGCGGACGGGUGAGUAAUAUAUCGGAACGUGCCCAGUAGCGGGGGAUAACUACUCGAAAGAGUGGCUAAUACCGCAUCAUCUUGUAUCGGCCGAUAUGGGAUUAGCUAGUUGGGGGGGGAAAGGCUCACCAAGGAAACGAUCCGUAGCUGGUUUGAGAGGACGACCAGCCACACUGGGACUGAGACACGGCCCAGACUCCUACGGGAGGCAGCAGUGGGGAAUGUUGGACAAUGGGGGAAACCCUGAUGCAGCCAUGCCGCGUGUAUGAGAAGGCCUUCGGGUUGUAAAGUACUUUUGGCAGAGAAGCGGUAUCUGCAGAAUAAGCACCGGCUAACUACGUGCCAGCAGCCGCGGUAAUUC
This 405-nucleotide ribosomal RNA is filed under the name uncultured bacterium. RNAcentral's name for it is "partial 16S ribosomal RNA". It matches the Rfam family "Bacterial small subunit ribosomal RNA", at positions 30 to 526 of the family's 1533-position model. The record is from RNAcentral.